Molecule: unclassified non-coding RNA, 399 nt
Filed under: Hevea brasiliensis (rubber tree)
Lineage: Eukaryota; Viridiplantae; Streptophyta; Magnoliopsida; Malpighiales; Euphorbiaceae
Source: RNAcentral
AGCAAAGUGCUCAUAGGGUAAAAUAAUUAAUCAUGGUAAGUUGGUAACAUUAUUAAAAAUCAAUAAUAGGCAACAGCUCAAUGAAAAUGUACCUUCCUUUAUUAGUAUUGUCUUCUACCUUGAGAAAAGGGGAAAAAAAACUUCAUUAAUAUUAAUCCUCAAUAUUCUUGCUGAUCUCCUUACUUGCUGUGCUUAAUUUAGUAAAAUGUAUGCAGCUGGAAGACUUCCAAACCAAAAUAAUGUUUCAUGGAGGGGUGACUCCUGCUUGAAGGAUGAAAUUGUUGGUGGCUACUAUGAUGCUGGCGAUGCAGUCAAGUACACUUUUCCUGCAUCUUUUGCCAUGACCGUAUUGAGUUGGAGCGUGAUCGAAUACAGUGCAAAAUAUGAAGCUGCUGGAGA